AGGCGCAGUCGGAGCGGCCCGUUGCGGUGGGAGGCGGGGCUCAGCCGUCCGGUCAGUCUGCUGGGCGGUCGGCGCGAGGAACCCCACGCGAGUGUAGCUGGUGGUGUAGGACCCAGGCCAUCGCCCGGGAAUGUGUGUCCGUUCUGACCACCGCGCUGCCGGCUGGAGUGUGUGACUGGAGCCCGAGGCUGCUGAGGGGCGGGGUCCGGCCGCGCUUCCGAGAGUCCCCGUGGGGCCAGCAGCUCCCUGCCUCGGGUCGACAGAUUCUCCCUCGUGCCUUUGAGACCCUCGCCUCCCAAAAGUUUAUUAGACAAACCGAGAAGGGACCUGGAAGGUCCUUAAGCCCAAGACAGCAGGUCUCUGCGUGACGCGGGAAAACGGACCUCUGAGGGGCCGCCCCAGCACCUUGCCGGUGGGGAGGGGCGAGCCCACCGGGCUCGGCUGCCCGCCUGCUCUCAGCGCUCACCACUGUUCGCUUUUGCACAUUGAUUACUGUGACAGCUCCAGCCAGUGCCGCCUCUCCCCCAAGCCCUACACCACGAACACCAGGGCUGUGCCAGCCCCGUGUCCCGGUUGCCUGAGCACUGGUGGCAGCUUGUGGAGUGGAUGGAUAAUUGAAUACGUCUGCUGCUGCUAAGUCGCUUCAGUCGUGUCCGACUCUGUGCGACCCCAUAGACUGCAGCCCACUAGGCUCCCCCGUCCCUGGGAUUCUCCAGGCAAGAACACUGGAGUGGGUUGCCAUUUCCUUCUCCAACGCAUGAAAGUGAAAAGUGAAAGUGAAGUCGCUCAGUCGUAUCCGACUCUUAGCGACCCCAUGGACUGCUGCCUACCAGGCUCCUCCGUCCAUUGAAUUUUCCAGGCAAGAGUACUGGAGUGUGAAUACAUCUCCGUUGCGCAAUAUCAAAGCUAUGGUUUUUCCAGUAGUCAUGUAUGGAGGAUGUGAGAGUUGGACCAUAAAGAAGGCUGAGUGCUAAAGAAUUGAUGCUUUCAAACUGUAGUGUUGGAGAAGACUCUUGAGAGUCCCUUGGACAACAAAGAGAUCCAACUAGUCCAUCCUAAAGGAAAUUAGUCCUGAAUAUUCAUUGGAAGGAAUGAUGCUGAAGCUGAAACUCUGAUACUUUGACCACCUGAUGUGAAGAACUGACUCAUUGGAAAAGACCCUGAUGCUGAGAAAGACUGAAGGCGGGGGAAGAAGGGGACGACACAGGAUGAGAUGGUUAGAUGGCAUCACUGACUCAAUGGACAUGAGUUUGGUGGACAGGAAAUGGUGGUGAUGCACAGGGAGGCCUGGCCUGCUGCAGUCCAUGGGGUCACAAAGAGCUGGACACGACUGAACGACUGAACAACAGGCGUUGUGCAUAAGAGGAAGCAGAUUCAGAUGCAAGAUGACUGGGACUCAGUCAGAGCUGUAGAUACAGAGCUGAGUGAGGACUCCAUCAGCUUGGGACCCUUGCUGCUGCUUCCCUUCCUGGGCUUGGGCCAGCGCCAAGGGCGUUUCUUGACCAAGGCCCCACAAACUCUGCAGCACCCACGACACUUGACUCCAUGAGAACACUGCUGCUCCUUUUUUACAUGGAGGGGCCUUCCCAGGAUCUCGGGGAGCCUUGCAGCAAUUUGAAUCAGGGUCUCUGGGCCCCCGGUCCCCAAGGUCAUUCC
Long non-coding RNA from Bos taurus (domestic cattle), 1656 nucleotides. NCBI's taxonomy places the organism in Eukaryota, Metazoa, Chordata, Mammalia, Artiodactyla, Bovidae. The record is from Ensembl.